Molecule: long non-coding RNA, 313 nt
Filed under: Brassica napus (rape)
Lineage: Eukaryota; Viridiplantae; Streptophyta; Magnoliopsida; Brassicales; Brassicaceae
Description: long non-coding RNA (BNAP_LNC002506)
Source: RNAcentral
UCGAUGCAUCUAAAGAGGGUUUGGAUGAUGAUGGGGCAUCUGAAGAGAAUGUUGAUGAUGAUGAUGAUGAUGGGCCAUCUCAAGAGGGCUCAGAUGAUGAUGGUGCAUCGGAAGGGGGCUCUGGUGAUGAUGAUGCUUCAUCUCAUCGGAAGAGGGCUCUGGUGAUGAUGAUGCUUCAUCUCUUGUUUCUGAAGAUGGAAGUAGUGAGAAAGGUUCUUUGAAGGACGGAGCUCUUACAGUAGGAAACUGUGGUGUGAAGCGUAACAAUGUGGCAUCUGAGACUGAGGUUUCCAAUGUGGAUUAUGAUGAUGCG